This 253-nucleotide ribosomal RNA is filed under the name uncultured bacterium. Its description in RNAcentral is "partial 16S ribosomal RNA". It matches the Rfam family "Bacterial small subunit ribosomal RNA", at positions 524 to 776 of the family's 1533-position model. The record is from RNAcentral.
UACAGAGGUCUCAAGCGUUGUUCGGAUUCAUUGGGCGUAAAGGGCGCGCAGGCGGCUUGUUUUGUCAGGCGUGAAAGCCCCGGGCUUAACCUGGGAACUGCGUUUGAUACGGACGGGCUAGAGUUCGGGAGAGGAGAGUGGAAUUCCCAGUGUAGAGGUGAAAUUCGUAGAUAUUGGGAAGAACACCGGUGGCGAAGGCGGCUCUCUGGACCGAGACUGACGCUGAGGCGCGAAAGCGUGGGGAGCAAACAGG